UACGGGAGGAGCGAGCAUUAUUCGGAAUGAUUAGGCGUAAAGGGUUUGUAGGUGGUUUUUUAAGUUGAAAAAAACAAAUUAAAGCUCAACUUUAUAAAUUUUUUCAAAACUGAAAAACUUGAGUAUAAAUAGAGGAUAAUGGAAUUUCUAUUGGAGGGAUAAAAUGCUCAAAUAUAUAGAGGAACACCAAUUGGCGAAGGCAGUUAACUAUUCGGUUCCUGACGUUGAGGCACGAAAGCGUGGGGAGCAAGACGG
This 255-nucleotide ribosomal RNA is filed under the name uncultured bacterium. Its description in RNAcentral is "partial 16S ribosomal RNA". It matches the Rfam family "Bacterial small subunit ribosomal RNA", at positions 524 to 776 of the family's 1533-position model. The record is from RNAcentral.